Molecule: ribosomal RNA, 873 nt
Filed under: Triticum aestivum (bread wheat)
Lineage: Eukaryota; Viridiplantae; Streptophyta; Magnoliopsida; Poales; Poaceae
Description: partial small subunit ribosomal RNA
Source: RNAcentral
AUGCUAGAUGAAGUGGGAGGUGGCCAAAAGCCAGCCGAUCGGCCAGACAUUGUGGACAGAGUAUUUAUGAUCAAACUAAAGGAGCUAAUGAGAGACAUAAAAGAAAAGAAAUACUUUGGAGAAACAGUUGCAAAGGCUAAGAAAAACUCACCAUGCAUGGUGGACCAUAGAUGCACCAAGCAUUUCCCAAAAAGAUACAAUGUCAGCACUACCAUUGACGAGGACAGAUUUCCAGUAUAUAAAAGGAGGGAUGACGGAAGGCAGAUCAAAAAGGGAGGGGUGAUGCUCGACAACAGAUUUGUCGUGCCAUACAACCGGAACCUUCUGGUCAAGUAUCAAGCUCACAUAAAUGUUGAGUGGUGCAAUAGGUCCAGAUCAAUCAAGUACCUAUUUAAGUAUAUCCAUAAAGAUGACGACCAUGUUACAGCCUUGCUCAAGGAAAGUGGCACGGCAAACAAAACUGACGAGAUCAAGAAAUACCUAGAGAUGAGAUACAUAUCAACAUCAAAAGCAUGCUGGAGGAUAUUUCAGUUUGAUCUUCAGUAUCGCGAUCCAGCAGUUGAGAGGCUACCUUUCCAUCUUGAAAAUGAGCAACAAGUUGUUUUUCCAGACUCCACUGAUCUUGAAAAGAUAUUAACAAGGGACGGAUCUAAAAUCACCAAGUUCACUCAGUGGAUGGAGGCAAAUAAAAUAUAUGAUCUAGGAAAAGGAUUGAUUUACGCAGAAUUCCCUACAAAGUUUGUAUGGAAAAGCGAAACAAAAUGUUGGCAGAAGCGAAAAAGGGACUGCGCAAUUGGAAGAAUCUACUAUGCACAUCCCGCAAGUGGCGAGAGAUAUCAUAUGAGGAUGCUUCUAAACACCAAGAAAGGAUGA